Molecule: long non-coding RNA, 232 nt
Filed under: Homo sapiens (human)
Lineage: Eukaryota; Metazoa; Chordata; Mammalia; Primates; Hominidae
Description: non-protein coding lnc-FRG1-12:5
Source: RNAcentral
AGGGAAGCACUGUCCUACAUCAUAUGUGACAGGCUCUCAUAGUCACCAUCAUCACAGGAAUCUUGUGCAUGUUACAGGGAAGCACUGUCCUACAUCGUAGGUGACAGGCUCUCAUAGUCACCAUCAUCAAGGGAAUCUUGUGCAUGUUACAGGGAAGCACUGUCCUACAUCAUAUGUGACAGGCUCUCAUAGUCACCAUCAUCACAGGAAUCUUGUGCAUGUUACAGGGAAG